GGACGUUAACCGUCAAACAAAGAGGAAGAGUUGCGUGUAUCUGUCUGUCCAUGUGUGCACGAAGAGUAAAAAAAAGAACGUGAUUGAGAGUGAAUUGAGAGUUAAAUUGUGUAUAAAAUGUAACAAACUGUCGUUUUAUCUAAUAUAGUUAUCUAGUUUUAUGGAUUAGGUUAAGCUAGCCCUAUUUAAAAAUAGUUCGUGAUAAUAGUCAGUGAAGGGAUAGUGGAAUACUAUUGCAUCAUGGCGCGAUUACGUGUUACUACCAGGAGGAUUUUUUGCUGUAUCCGCACUCUAUUCCAGUGACUACUCAAGCUGUGAUAAUUGUCUUCAAGAAAAUACGCUUGAAACUAAUAGCGUGAUUAUCCUGCCAUC
Molecule: unclassified non-coding RNA, 372 nt
Filed under: Bombus terrestris (buff-tailed bumblebee)
Lineage: Eukaryota; Metazoa; Arthropoda; Insecta; Hymenoptera; Apidae
Description: misc RNA ENSBTSG00005023197.1
Source: RNAcentral